RNAcentral lists this unclassified non-coding RNA (330 nucleotides) under soil metagenome. Its description in RNAcentral is "partial contains 5.8S ribosomal RNA, internal transcribed spacer 2, and large subunit ribosomal RNA". The stretch from base 1 to 120 matches the Rfam family "5.8S ribosomal RNA", at positions 35 to 154 of the family's 154-position model. The record is from RNAcentral.
GAUGAAGAACGUAGCGAAAUGCGAUAAGUAAUGUGAAUUGCAGAAUUCAGUGAAUCAUCGAAUCUUUGAACGCACAUUGCGCCCCUUGGUAUUCCGAGGGGCAUGCCUGUUCGAGCGUCAUUAUAACCCCUCAAGCUUAGCUUGGUGUUGGGGCUUGCUGUAAUAGAGCAGCCCUUAAAAUCAGUGGCGGUGCCAUUAGGCUCUAAGCGUAGUAAUUCUUCUCGCUAUAGGGUUCUGGUGGAUGCUUGCCAUUAACCUCUAAUUUUCUAUGGUUGACCUCGGAUCAGGUAGGGAUACCCGCUGAACUUAAGCAUAUCAAUAAGCGGAGGA